RNAcentral lists this long non-coding RNA (5469 nucleotides) under Gallus gallus (chicken). Its description in RNAcentral is "lncRNA (ENSGALG00010014462.1)". The record is from RNAcentral. Lineage: Eukaryota; Metazoa; Chordata; Aves; Galliformes; Phasianidae.
UUUGAGCCUCCUGGCAGUUUGGGGGAAUGAAACUGUACAGUAGAGGCAGAUGGAGUUAGUGGGAGCUUCAGCUGAUUAGCUACACGAGUCCAUGUGACCAGAUGGGAGGAAUUCAAGGAUGUCAGAGGACCUGGCCGAUGUCACUGCAAAGCCAUUCUCUGUCACUGGUCACAGUGGAAGUUCCUAAUGACAGAAAAAAAGGCAAAUGUCACAGCUAUAUCCUCAGGAAGGGCAAGAAGGAAGACUGGGAAACUAGAGGCUGAUCAACAACACCAUUGGUCCAUGAGAAGAUGUGUGUGCAGCCAUACCCAUGCAUUUUGGAGACAUAACCAUGUUGAGACCUAUGUUUUCCUCCUUCUGUGAUUCUGAAGAUCUUCUACAGCAUCACUUCAAGGUUUUACACCUGAAACGGGUUCAUUUUCACUUGUCUGAUGCACAUUUCCAGCCAGCAGCCGGGAGACCGAAGAGGAUUCAAUCCGCAAUUGUUCUGAAAGCACACAAACUGAAUAAAUGUUUAUAACCCUAAAUGGUGUCACCGCAGCAGAUGAAUGGCAGCAGAACAAUGGGCACCGAUGCACUCUUCAGGCCGCAGCCAAGUUCCCUAGCAACUACAGAGGAGCUGUGCAGCCUGCAGAGGUACUGUGAGUGCCAGCAGGCCGUUAUCUGAGAAAUGACUGAGAAAUGAUCUUAGUGCCGUAUUUCAUUGAGGAGAUACCAUUAAUCAAUUGCCUGUUUGUAAUUCACGGAUACCACUUUUUCCCUUUGGGUAAACUAUUAGGUAAGAAUUCCUCUGGCUAGCGAUUUCAUUGUUAUUUAGUUUCAUGUAUGUGUUAGCAUUAAUUACAUAGGUUUAAAGUUGUUUGAGUUCCAAGGAAAUAGCACCAGGUAGCUGCUAUGCUGUAAGAAAAGCACACCGAGCUGAAGUUUGACACUAAGCUAAACUGAUGUAAUGGCUGCUAAAAGCUUGAGUGCCAAUUGCUUCCUUGGUUUAGAACUGUGUUUUGAAACACGUAGAUAGGUACAAGGCAAAAGGGAAAAAGAAAAGCAAUGGCUUUAUCGAAGAGAUAUUGUUAUUUAUUAAAUCAGUUAAUCAUACGUUGCCAGCCUAAUUAAUAAUUGCUGGUGCAAGGAAUGCCACAGAUUAGGCUACACUGAUACCAUGUGCUCCAAACAGAUGAUAGAAAGUUGUACUCUGACCUUCCCAUGUGUCUGACCGCAACAGAGAACAGGUCACCCCAUCUUCUAUAACACUGCGCUCUCUGCUGCUCUGUUACUCAUUGUGUCAGGGGAGGGGCAGCUGGGGGUUAGGGACAGGGUCUGCACCAGAGGGGGGUGGGCAUGGAACGGGCUGCCCAGGGCUGUGGGCACUGCCCCCAUUGCUGGAGUUCAGAGAGCAUCUGGACAGUGCUCUCAGAUGUAGGGUCUGAUUUUGGGUGGUGCUGUGUGGAGAAUGGAGUUGGACUCGAUGAUCCUUGUGGGUCCUGUCCAGCUUGGGAUAUUCUGUGCUUCUAUAAUUCCACGAUUCUAUGAACCUAGUGUUUCAGCACAGCUGGAAGAAUUCAACUCUUCAACUUCAGAAGGUUUGCUUGGAAGCAGGGAAGCAGUGGGCAAUGCCACAUCACACCAGUCACUUGCCACAGAAACCUCCUAACUGCUGUCUUCUGUAUCUGCACAAGCUGUCAUGCUUAUUGUUGCACCAGGAGAGAUCUUGCACAGCAGCAGUGGAGCUGGGGGAAGGCUGUAUCUCCCCAGGCUAAUCUGGUUAACCAUGAAAGCUGUCAGGACUUGUUCACCCGCAGCAAAAGACUCAUCCUGGUCACUAUAAAAGAACAAAACUGCCAUGCAGCAAGAGCUCCCCACUCAAGCUUGUGGCUCACCCUAAAAUGCAGCUGAAAGCACUCUCUCGUGCAGAGCCCAACCCCUAAAUCUCCAUCACAUGGGAAAGUUCCCCACAGCUGUGACUGUUACAGGCUUCCCUGUUGCUUCACGUGUCCUUUCCAACACUUGCUGAACCAUCAUAAGCUGUUGUUUCAGAUCACACGCACACAUGGCUUUACAAAAGGCAAAGCAUCUCUUUAAACAAUAAGCUUUUCAUAGAACCAUAGAAACAUAGAAUGGCUUGCGUUAGAAGAGACUUCAAAGGUCAUCUGAUUCCAACCCACCAGCUCAGGCUGCCCAGGGCCCAUUCCAACCUGGCCUUGAGCACCUCCAGGGAUGGGGCACCACAGCUUCUCUGGGCAGCUGUGCCAGCGCUUCACUGCCCUCUGAGUAAAAAGUUUCCCCCUAAUAUCCCACCUAAAUCUCCCCUCUUUUAGUUUAAAGCCAUUCCUGCUUGUCCUAUCACUAUAAGACCAUGUAAAAAAUUGGUCUCCCUUCUGCUAAUAAACUUCUUCUAAGCACGGCAAGGCCACUAUCAGGUCUCUCUGGAGCUUUCUCUUCUCCAGGCAGCUCAAGCCCAGUUCCCUCAGCCUGUCUUCACAGGAGAGGUGCUCCAACCCUCUGAUCAUCUUCCUGCUGUUGUCUGGACCCACUCCAACAUCUCCACAUCCCUUCUACGCUGGGGACCCCAGGCCUGGACGCAGUACUCCAAGUGGAGCCUCACGAGGGCAGAGCAAAGAGGGACAUUCACUUCCCUCCCCCCCGCUGGCCACCCCUUCUUUUGCCGCAGCCCAGUGUACAAUGAGGUAACCCUUCCCUGCGAGCUCCCUCGGCUACGCCCGACACCUGGGCCAAGGGAGGCGCCCUUCCCGAGGGGCCACCUGCGCCCAUCCGGGGCCGGCGCGAUGCGGCCGGAAGGGGGCGCCGCCGUCCCGCCUGUAGAACCGGAGCAGAACAUGGCGAGUAGCCCGGCGCUUCGCCAGGGCCCCGGGCAGGGGGAGGGCGACCGUGGCUCUCUUUCGCGGCUGCCCUCCGCAGCAGAAGCCAACAGAACCGUGUGGGUGUGGCACUGAGGGACGUGGUCAGUGGGCAUGGCGGGGAUGGGAUGACACUUGGGCUAGGUGACCUUAGAUGUCUCUUCCAACCUUAAUGAAUCUGUGAUUCUAUAUUUGAGAAGUUAAAAACAGUUGAAACAAGGAUUGUGGGAUUGUGGAUGUUACCUGCUUUCACCGUUCCUUUGUCGUUAAAUGUCUGGCAUUCACAUAUUAGUAUGUGGCUGGCUAACGAGGAAGUGAAAUAUUAAUUUCUCCUCAGUCAGGAAGCUCCUGGAUGGAAGUUCACCUCAGUCAAGUCUCACUUUGAGAGCUUAAUUCUGAUCUGUCCAGCUUUGUGAUUACUUGCUCUCAUACUAUGCAUUGGAGUCACACACUGCUUUGCUAUAGGACUGAAAGAGUUCAAAUUUUAAGGUAGUUUUCAAAUCAAAUUCAUGGUUUGGGUUGAAAGGGAGCUCACAGCCCACCCACCCCAACCUGUGCCGUGGGCAGGGCUGCCCCCCACCAGCUCAGGCUGCCCAGGGCCCCAUCCAACCUGGCCUUGAGAGCCUCCAGGGAUGGGGCACCACAGCUUCUCUGGGCAGCUGUGCCAGCGCCUCACCGCCCUCUCAGCAAAAAGUUUCCACCAACAUCUAAUCUAAAUGUGGCACUUCAGUGGAUUGUGUUAAAUAAAUACUUAAAUAAAUAAAAUUCCAAACUCGUUAAUGGCCACUCUUCUAUGUCUAGACCAGUCUGUGGCCUUACUCUCUCCACCUAGUCCUGUUCGUCCACUUUCUAACCUGGGAUAUUGCUUCCUGAAUUCUCAGCUGUAAUCUGCAGGCCCUCUCUGGACAGCAUGUCUCUGCAGUGGUUGUUUAUAUGGUGUCCUCUGUAGUGGUGUUCUUUCCUAAAGGUUCAUGGUGUAGUAAUAAAUUCUUUGAAAGACGCCGUCAGAGGAGGUCAUGGGAGCAAAGACACACGCAAGGAAUUGAUGGCACUUCAGCAUUUUGCUAGUAAAGACACAAGCUGUCCUGUAGGAACAGGAAAGCUAUUGUUGGACUGAAUCCGCCUGUCUUCCUCUGGUGCCAGCACUCCACAAAGCGUGCAUUUUGUGACUGUAAUGCUAUUCAGCCUCGCAAAAGGUACAGCCUGGGACCAAUCGGAGAACAUGAUUAAAUGCUCAGCUUCCAUCCCUCAUAUAAAGGUCGUGUAUUUGUAUUCCAGCUAAGUCAGCCGUCAGCGUUUGUAAAGUGUCUGAUGUUCUCUUAUUGCUGUGCAAACAAUGGCAAAACCAAAACAGAAUUAAAUUUCAAUUAAUCUGAGACAUUCAUAACAGGCAUUAGAACAAUAAGCAUGUUUUGUUAUUAACCUUCCUCCUUCAUAUGAGAUUUUGACCUCUUUAUACUAAUCUGAUUUUAUUUGUCAAAUUAACUGUAGAAUUCAAUAUUAGUAGUCCCAGACAAUGACUCAAGCUUCAUCACCUCCUAUUCCCUCUUUGUGGGAAAAAGAAGGUAAUUAUUACUUUUAAAAAUAAUAACAACCUUGGAGUGAAGUUUCAUUUCUUAUUUCUUAAUGACGAGACCCUUUUUUUCUCUUGCUGUUUUUUAACCUUUAGAAUGGAUUUUCCUUUUCAAACUCUGUUUUUUUUUUUUUUUCUGAGCAUUUUUGAGGUCUGGAAACAUUUCUUUUUUCGUAAUGGAACCUGAGAUUCCUGACUAAUGACUUGCCUUUGGGAGCUGAGAUUUUAAUUAAAAAAGAAAAAAAAAAAAAAACCACCCAAAGUGGGGCAGUUGUGAUAAAAUCAUAAGAAUUGGCAAUAUAUUUAUGUGUCUACGCCAGGUAGGGAAGCAUUGUGAAGGAGAAGAAAACUGCCUGACUGUAAGCAGACCUUCUUGAUGAUGAAACCCUGCAGGGCUAUGGCCAGCUAUGGCACCUGUAAGACAUAGAGGGGUGGUUACAGAGCAAGUGCAGGAGAGUGAUAUCUUCAGCCACGAGGACUGCUUUGUAUCAUGUUCUUCACUGAGAUAAACAUCUCCUCCUAGCAGCUCCUUAUCUGCUGAUAAUCUUGCCAUAUCCCAGUCCACAUCUGAAGUGCAUGCACGUUUUGGGGCAAGGGUAGUGCUGGCUGGGACUCUGCCCAGUUCCAAGUAGGUACAAGAGGCUCGGGGCCAACUGUUUAUUGGGCUGUACUAUUUAUACAGUAAUUCUCGACUUGCUUGGAACAAGGGACAGAUCAAGGCUUAAUCCCCUUUCCCGGACAACCCUAUUACCUAACACCAAGAGUGGUAGAAAAGUCCUAAUCUUCAGAGGGAGAGGGACAGUAAAAGUUCCUCUAUCAGAGAUUGUUAAGAUAGCCCAGAACAAAGCCUUAGAGAGCUAUUGGCUACAGUGCGCCUGAAAAGGAGAUAACCCAGCAGAUGUCUGGGUUUGCAUUGCGGUGUAAUUACAGGUGAGCUUUAAAGUCACUGGGAAUCAGCUGACUGUUCUGGGAAGAACAGCAGCGGUAUGUUGCUGCUGUGCCUGUUUCAGCACAAAAGCACACAUCUCAUGAACAGGCACG